GCCGGGGGAUGCAAGCGUUAUCCGGAAUCACUGGGCGUAAAGCGUCUGUAGGUGGUGAUGCAAGUCACUGGUGCAAAACUCUGGCUCAACCGGAGGAAAGCCAGUGAAACUGCAUGACUAGAGUGUGGGAGAGGUAGAAGGAAUUCCCUGAGUAUCGGUGAAAUGCGUAGAUACAGGGAAGAACACCGGAGGCGAAAGCGUUCUACUGGAACACAACUGACACUGAGAGACGAAAGCUAGGGGAGUGAAUGGG
RNAcentral lists this ribosomal RNA (253 nucleotides) under uncultured bacterium. Its description in RNAcentral is "partial 16S ribosomal RNA". It matches the Rfam family "Bacterial small subunit ribosomal RNA", at positions 524 to 776 of the family's 1533-position model. The record is from RNAcentral.